AGUUGUAUUGAGUGAUUUUUUAACAUAAGAUACAAUAGUUGAAAAUGCUUGGAGUGAUAAAAUGUCAAAUUUAUAGAGAAAGAAGGAAAUUGUAUUGAUUGAAUGAAAAACAGAAUUAAAAAAAAAGAAAAGAAGAGAAACU
Molecule: long non-coding RNA, 142 nt
Organism: Apis dorsata (giant honeybee)
Lineage: Eukaryota; Metazoa; Arthropoda; Insecta; Hymenoptera; Apidae
Exons: 3
Source: RefSeq, a predicted model, not a curated record